UCCGAGAUGGUGUCUUAGUAGUCCUCACUAUUUUGUUAAAUAGUGUGAUAAUAAAUGUAAUGAGGACUAAAUUGAGUGUGGAUAUUGUCUAGAUGACAAUAUUUUAUUAAAACUCACAACAUGUAUUUUGUCGUAUUUUACACGACUAUUGUAUAAUCAAGUUGUAUUUGAAUUUAGUACCAUAUAUUUCGCGACUCAUGUGAG
RNAcentral lists this long non-coding RNA (204 nucleotides) under Panax ginseng (ginseng). RNAcentral describes it as "long non-coding RNA (PGIN_LNC008493)". The record is from RNAcentral. Lineage: Eukaryota; Viridiplantae; Streptophyta; Magnoliopsida; Apiales; Araliaceae.